This 468-nucleotide ribosomal RNA is filed under the name uncultured bacterium. Its description in RNAcentral is "partial 16S ribosomal RNA". It matches the Rfam family "Bacterial small subunit ribosomal RNA", at positions 28 to 507 of the family's 1533-position model. The record is from RNAcentral.
GACGAACGCUGGCGGCGUGCUUAACACAUGCAAGUCGAACGGAAAGGCCCUGCUUUUGUGGGGUGCUCGAGUGGCGAACGGGUGAGUAACACGUGAGUAACCUGCCCUUGACUUUGGGAUAACUUCAGGAAACUGGGGCUAUUCCGGGAUAGGGGUUCUUGUUGCUUGGUGGGGGUUGGAAGGUUUGGGGGGUUGGGGAUGGGCUGGCGGCUUUUCGGUUGGUUGGUGGGGUAGUGGCUUACCAAGGCUUUGACGGGUAGCCGGCCUGAGAGGGUGACCGGCCACAUUGGGACUGAGAUACGGCCCAGACUCCUACGGGAGGCAGCAGUGGGGAAUAUUGCACAAUGGGCGGAAGCCUGAUGCAGCAACGCCGCGUGCGGGAUGACGGCCUUCGGGUUGUAAACCGCUUUCGCCUGUGACGAAGCGUGAGUGACGGUAAUGGGUAAAGAAGCACCGGCUAACUACGUG